CUGAGGGUGACGCAUUUUGGUUUCUGCAUAUGAGGCAAGGAAAGCUGAAGCGGAAGCUAAAGGCAAGAAAUUGGAACCCGAUUCUAUUGUGCGUCCGAGAAUCAAGUUUUUCUCUUGCCUAGAAUCAUUCACCCAAUCUGAAGUUAUAAACAACUUCUUCAGCUCAGCAGUCAAUGAAAACGUUACGGCGAGAAAAACGACAAGGUUAUCUUCGUUCCCGGACUUUUUGGUGAUUCAUUUGAAGAAGUUCACGUUACGCGAAGAUUGGGUGCCAAUUAAAUUGGACGUGUCCAUCGAGAUGCCUGAUGUUUUAGAUAUAUCUCCAUUACGGGGUGGAGGACCGCAGCCAGAGGAGGAACUUCUUCCUGAACCUCAAGUUCAGCCCGUCCUGCCCGCUAUGGACGAAAAUGUAUUGUCCCAACUGGCUGACAUGGGUAAAUAUCGACAGUUUUCA
Long non-coding RNA from Leptinotarsa decemlineata (Colorado potato beetle), 454 nucleotides. Lineage: Eukaryota; Metazoa; Arthropoda; Insecta; Coleoptera; Chrysomelidae. The record is from RefSeq and is a predicted model, not a curated record.